Molecule: ribosomal RNA, 425 nt
Filed under: uncultured bacterium
Lineage: Bacteria
Description: partial 16S ribosomal RNA
Rfam family: Bacterial small subunit ribosomal RNA
Source: RNAcentral
GUGGGGAAUCUUGCGCAAUGGGCGAAAGCCUGACGCAGCCAUGCCGCGUGGAUGAUGAAGGUCUUAGGAUUGUAAAAUCCUUUCACCGGUGAAGAUAAUGACUGUAGCCGGAGAAGAAGCCCCGGCUAACUUCGUGCCAGCAGCCGCGGUAAUACGAAGGGGGCUAGCGUUGCUCGGAUUUACUGGGCGUAAAGGGCGCGUAGGCGGACAUUUAAGUCAGGGGUGAAAUCCCGGGGCUCAACCUCGGAACUGCCUUUGAUACUGGGUGUCUUGAGUAUGAGAGAGGUGUGUGGAACUCCGAGUGUAGAGGUGAAAUUCGUAGAUAUUCGGAAGAACACCAGUGGCGAAGGCGACACACUGGCUCAUUACUGACGCUGAGGCGUGAAAGCGUGGGGAGCAAACAGGAUUAGAUACCCGGGUAGUCC